UACGUAGGUCCCGAGCGUUGUCCGGAUUUAUUGGGCGUAAAGCGAGCGCAGGUGGUUUAUUAAGUCUGGUGUAAAAGGCAGUGGCUCAACCAUUGUAUGCAUUGGAAACUGGUAGACUUGAGUGCAGGAGAGGAGAGUGGAAUUCCAUGUGUAGCGGUGAAAUGCGUAGAUAUAUGGAGGAACACCAGUGGCGAAGGCGGCUUACUGGACUGUAACUGACGUUGAGGCCCGAAAGCGUGGGGAGCAAACAGG
RNAcentral lists this ribosomal RNA (252 nucleotides) under uncultured bacterium. RNAcentral's name for it is "partial 16S ribosomal RNA". It matches the Rfam family "Bacterial small subunit ribosomal RNA", at positions 524 to 776 of the family's 1533-position model. The record is from RNAcentral.